Molecule: non-coding RNA, 338 nt
Organism: Penaeus vannamei (Pacific white shrimp)
Lineage: Eukaryota; Metazoa; Arthropoda; Malacostraca; Decapoda; Penaeidae
Source: RefSeq, a predicted model, not a curated record
UCAGCAUAAGGUCAACCAUAUCAAAAAGACAGCAACAAGGGUGCUCAGGGCGGAGAGUCUCCAGACCGACAGACACGUGAAAGCCUUACUAAACCUAGGGGAGGUGUAUGCUGUGCAGGAGCACCAGGGAAGCCUGCGCUCCGCUAAGAUAACCAUACGGCAGGGAAUGAUUUACCUCCACCACCUCCAGCCUUGCCCCCCUCCAGCUCAUGCCUACACUCUGCCUCACAAUAAGGUCAUAGGUCUCCUCGACCCCUCUUCCACCUUGGCCUUCCUGGAUCUGGCUUGGCCGGGAAUGCCGUCCCAGAGGCUGCACAUCCGAAUGGGUGCCAACAACC